Molecule: RNA transcript, 834 nt
Organism: Glycine soja
Lineage: Eukaryota; Viridiplantae; Streptophyta; Magnoliopsida; Fabales; Fabaceae
Gene name: ferredoxin C 2, chloroplastic-like
Exons: 7
Source: RefSeq, a predicted model, not a curated record
CUGUGUGUCUGUGUGCGCUAAGAAGAAGAAAAUGGCACUUCCCCUUCUUCGAAUCCCCGGCAUGCCACUCACCAACCAACACCAAUCAUUCCCUUCCAAUACCCGCCGCAAAGCCACGACGGCGAAGGCGGAGCUCGGGACGGCGGUGGCGCGGACGGGCGGAGCCGGUUACCAAUCUCCGUCCGUCGACGUUCCCACGCAUAAGGUCACAGUCCACGACAGACAACGAGGAAUCGUUCACGAGUUCGUCGUGCCUGAGGACCAGUAUAUAUUACAUACUGCUGAGGCCCAGAAUAUUACCCUUCCAUUCGCCUGCAGGCAUGGUUGUUGUACUAGCUGUGCUGUACGUAUAAAGAAGGGACAAAUUAGGCAACCAGAGGCACUUGGGAUAUCUGCCGAAUUGAGAGACAAGGGUUAUGCACUUCUUUGUGUGGGCUUCCCGACCUCUGAUGUUGAAGUGGAAACUCAAGAUGAAGAUGAGAAUAUAUCGUGGAAUCAAUAAGUCAUCUAAUCAAGUAUAUUGGCUUCAAUUUGGACGUUAUUUUGCCCGAGGACCAGUGGAAAGAGAUGACUAUGCCUUGGAGUUGGCCAUGGCUGACGAGUAAGCAAUGCGAGCAAAGAAUGUGAAUAUUUUGUUUCCCCUUCUUUUCUCCUUUUUUUUCUUCUUCAUAUAUCUACUAUGUUAUCUGGUCUUUGUUUAUUUUUCCCAUCUAUAUAUACUAUUGUGUGAAUUCUAAGUAAAGCCUCAUGCUAUAUGCGGGUUCGUGUUUAAAUGUUUCAAAGCUUUAGGGGAGUAUAUUGAAAGAUUAAUUUAAUGUAAUUUGUUCAAUCUUA